UGUGACCUGCCUGUUUCUCAGUUUCCUCU
RNAcentral lists this non-coding RNA (29 nucleotides) under Mus musculus (house mouse). Lineage: Eukaryota; Metazoa; Chordata; Mammalia; Rodentia; Muridae. The record is from RNAcentral.